RNAcentral lists this ribosomal RNA (484 nucleotides) under uncultured bacterium. Its description in RNAcentral is "partial 16S ribosomal RNA". It matches the Rfam family "Bacterial small subunit ribosomal RNA", at positions 30 to 507 of the family's 1533-position model. The record is from RNAcentral.
AUUGAACGCUGGCGGCAGGCCUAACACAUGCAAGUCGAGCGGAUGAAGGGAGCUUGCUCCUGGAUUCCGCGGCGGACGGGUGAGUAAUGCCUAGGAAUCUGCCUGGUAGUGGGGGAUAACGUCCGUAAACGGGCGCUAAUACCGCAUACGUCCUGAGGUAGAAAGUGGGGGAUCUUCGGACCUCACGCUAUCUGAUGAGCCUAGGUCGGAUUAGCUAGUUGGUGGGGUAAAGGCCUACCAAGGCGACGAUCCGUAACUGGUCUGAGAGGAUGAUCAGUCACACUGGAACUGAGACACGGUCCAGACUCCUACGGGAGGCAGCAGUGGGGAAUAUUGGACAAUGGGCGAAAGCCUGAUGCAGCCAUGCCGCGUGUGUGAAGAAGGUCUUCGGAUUGUAAAGCACUUUAAGUUGGGAGGAAGGGCAGUAAGUUAAUACCUUGCUGUUUUGACGUUACCAACAGAAUAAGCACCGGCUAACUUCGUG